Molecule: ribosomal RNA, 495 nt
Filed under: uncultured bacterium
Lineage: Bacteria
Description: partial 16S ribosomal RNA
Rfam family: Bacterial small subunit ribosomal RNA
Source: RNAcentral
GACGAACGCUGGCGGCGUGCCUAAUACAUGCAAGUAGAACGCUGAAGGAGGAGCUUGCUUCUCUGGAUGAGUUGCGAACGGGUGAGUAACGCGUAGGUAACCUGCCUGGUAGCGGGGGAUAACUCUUGGAAACGAUAGCUAAUACCGCAUAAUAGUAGAUGUUGCAUGACAUUUGCUUAAAAGGUGCAAUUGCAUCACUACCAGAUGGACCUGCGUUGUAUUAGCUAGUUGGUGGGGUAACGGCUCACCAAGGCGACGAUACAUAGCCGACCUGAGAGGGGGAUCGGCCACACUGGGACUGAGACACGGCCCAGACUCCUACGGGAAGCAGCAGUAGGGAAUCUUCGGCAAUGGACGGAAGUCUGACCGGGCAACGCCGCGUGAGUGAAGAAGGGUUUCGGAUCGUAAAACUCUGUUGUAAGAGAAGAACGAGUGUGAGAGUGGAAAGUUCACACUGUGACGGUAUCUUACCAGAAAGGGACGGCUAACUACGUG